AGCGAAGUGAAAAUCAGGUGUUAACUCAAGUUGUCCAGAGAGAAGAACAGCAAGAAAAUGAUCGCUAAGAUUGCCAUCCUCUGCGCCCUGGUAGCCGUCGCCCAUAGCGGAUUGAUUGCUGGACACGGUCUAGCAGGUGGCUCUAGUAUCAGUUCUCGCCGACAGGACGACUUUGGUAACUACGCCUUCAACUACGACAUUGUUGACCCAGUUGGAGCUACCAAUGGCCGUUGGGAGGC
Molecule: long non-coding RNA, 239 nt
Organism: Limulus polyphemus (Atlantic horseshoe crab)
Lineage: Eukaryota; Metazoa; Arthropoda; Merostomata; Xiphosura; Limulidae
Exons: 3
Source: RefSeq, a predicted model, not a curated record